Molecule: ribosomal RNA, 253 nt
Filed under: uncultured bacterium
Lineage: Bacteria
Description: partial 16S ribosomal RNA
Rfam family: Bacterial small subunit ribosomal RNA
Source: RNAcentral
UACGUAGGGUGCGAGCGUUAAUCGGAAUUACUGGGCGUAAAGCGUGCGCAGGCGGCGCGUUAAGACAGGUGUGAAAGCCCCGAGCUUAACUUGGGAAUUGCGCUUGUGACUGGCGUGCUGGAGUGUGGCAGAGGGAGGUGGAAUUCCACGUGUAGCAGUGAAAUGCGUAGAGAUCAGCAGGAACACCCGUGGCGAAGGCGGCCCCCUGGGCCGUACCUGACGCUGAGGCGCGAAGGCUAGGGGAGCGAACGGG